GUUUAAGUGGAUCACACCACAUCAUGAAUGUUAUAUUUAAAUUAUUGAACACCUAAAGAGAACGUUAACGUAUGUGACUGACUGAAGGUUGUUAUUUAGUGUGACACUUUGAAUAACCUCGUUUCUGCACUUUACUAGCAGUUUAUUGUUAGCUCAAAUAAAUUUUGAAAAUUCAAUGAGAGCGUUUUCACAAAGAGUGAAUCUACGAAAAAUUAAAAAAACAGAAAAUUAAUAAAAAUUAACGACUAAAUGCCACAGUGAUAGUUUUGACAAUCAUCAUAUGCUUAGUGAGUUGUUUAUAUGCAUUUAAUUCAACGAAGUCCUUUAACUUAUUAUUUCACAAAUAAAAGAAUAUUUUGAAAAAAAACAUCACUCAUACGCCGCUGCGGCAAAAGCUUUAGGGUAUGACUGCAGCGGAAAUAUACUUACGCAGAGAAAUGAACCACUGUGCCAUCUUUGAGCCGUGUCUUUUUUCUUCAUUUCCGACCAAUGUUGACGGCUUCAACGUAAAAGAGCUGUAAAUCAAAUAUUUGCGUUUGAGUUGAAGGAGGAUAACCGUUUUUUUUUUGGGAAUGAAAUAAUUAUUUACUUUCUUCAGCAACUCCUCGAUGCUAUUAAAUGCAUACCAGACACAGAGCUUUGAAGGAUUGCGUGCGCAAAUAACUGAAGGUCAAAACUUGAGCGAAGCGCUAGAAAAUCAUAAUUCAUUUGGCUUUAAGACCGCAAUUCUCGGAUUUCCGCCAACACUUUGCCACAACCAGCAACACCACCAACAACAAGUGAUAUACAAU
Non-coding RNA from Bactrocera oleae (olive fruit fly), 791 nucleotides. The record is from RefSeq and is a predicted model, not a curated record. Lineage: Eukaryota; Metazoa; Arthropoda; Insecta; Diptera; Tephritidae.